CAUGCAAGUCGAGGGGCAGCAUUUCAGUUUGCUUGCAAACUGGAGAUGGCGACCGGCGCACGGGUGAGUAACACGUAUCCAACCUGCCGAUAACUCGGGGAUAGCCUUUCGAAAGAAAGAUUAAUACCCGAUGGNAUAAUCAGACCGCAUGGUCUUAUUAUUAAAGAAUUUCGGUUAUCGAUGGGGAUGCGUUCCAUUAGGCAGUUGGUGAGGUAACGGCUCACCAAACCUUCGAUGGAUAGGGGUUCUGAGAGGAAGGUCCCCCACAUUGGAACUGAGACACGGUCCAAACUCCUACGGGAGGCAGCAGUGAGGAAUAUUGGUCAAUGGGCGCAGGCCUGAACCAGCCAAGUAGCGUGAAGGAUGACUGCCCUAUGGGUUGUAAACUUCUUUUAUAUGGGAAUAAAGUUUUCCACGUGUGGAAUUUUGUAUGUACCAUAUGAAUAAGGAUCGGCUAACUCCGUGCCAGCAGCCGCGGUAAUACGGAGGAUCCGAGCGUUAUCCGGAUUUAUUGGGUUUAAAGGGAGCGUAGGUGGACAGUUAAGUCAGUUGUGAAAGUUUGCGGCUCAACCGUAAAAUUGCAGUUGAUACUGGCUGUCUUGAGUACAGUAGAGGUUGGGCGGAAUUCGUGGUGUAGCGGUGAAAAUGCUUAGAUAUCACGAAGAACUCCGAUUGCGAAGGCAGCUCACUGGACUGCAACUGACACUGAUGCUCGAAAGUGUGGGUAUCAAACAGGAUUAGAUACCCUGGUAGUCCCACACAGUAAACGAUGAAUACUCGCUGUUUGCGAUAUACAGUAAGCGGCCAAACCAAAGCAUUAAGUAUUCCACCUGGGGGAGUACCCCGGCAACGGGGAAAACUCAAAGGAAUUGACGGGGGNCCCGCACAAGCGGAAGAACAUGGGGUUUAAUUCCAUGAUACCCGAGGAACCUUACCCGGGCUUAAAUUGCAUUUGAAUAAUUUGGAAACAGNNUAGCCGNAAGGCAAAUGUGAAGGUGCUGCAUGGUUGUCGUCAGCUCGUGCCGUGAGGUGUCGGCUUAAGUGCCAUAACGAGCGCAACCCUUAUCUUUAGUUACUAACAGGUCAUGCUGAGGACUCUAGAGAGACUGCCGUCGUAAGAUGUGAGGAAGGUGGGGAUGACGUCAAAUCAGCACGGCCCUUACGUCCGGGGCUACACACGUGUUACAAUGGGGGGUACAGAAGGCAGCUACCUGGUGACAGGAUGCUAAUCCCAAAAGCCUCUCUCAGUUCGGAUCGAAGUCUGCAACCCGACUUCGUGAAGCUGGAUUCGCUAGUAAUCGCGCAUCAGCCAUGGCGCGGUGAAUACGUUCCCGGGCCUUGUACACACCGCCCGUCAAGCCAUGAAAGCCGGGGGUACCUGAAGUACGUAACCGCAAGGAGCUCCUAGG
Molecule: ribosomal RNA, 1409 nt
Filed under: bacterium NLAE-zl-P265
Lineage: Bacteria
Description: 16S ribosomal RNA
Rfam family: Bacterial small subunit ribosomal RNA
Source: RNAcentral